CGCGUGAGAAUCUAGCUUCAGAACGGGGACAACAGAGGGAAACCACUGCUAAUACCCGAUGUGCCGAGAGGUGAAAGAUUUAUCAUCUGAAGAUGAGCUCGCGUCCGAUUAGCUAGUUGGUAAGGUAAGAGCUUACCAAGGCGACGAUCGGUAGCUGGUCUGAGAGGAUGACCAGCCACACUGGGACUGAGACACGGCCCAGACUCCUACGGGAGGCAGCAGUGGGGAAUUUUCCGCAAUGGGCGAAAGCCUGACGGAGCAAGACCGCGUGAGGGAGGAAGGCUCUUGGGUUGUAAACCUCUUUUCUCUGGGAAGAAGAUCUGACGGUACCAGAGGAAUCAGCAUCGGCUAACUCCGUGCCAGCAGCCGCGGUAAUACGGAGGAUGCAAGCGUUAUCCGGAAUUAUUGGGCGUAAAGCGUCCGUAGGUGGCGGUUCAAGUCUGCCGUUAAAACCAGUAGCUUAACUACUGACAGGCGGUGGAAACUGAACAGCUAGAGUGUGGUAGGGGUAGAGGGAAUUCCCAGUGUAGCGGUGAAAUGCGUAGAGAUUGGGAAGAACACCGGUGGCGAAAGCGCUCUGCUGGACCACAACUGACACUCACAGGACGAAAGCUAGGGGAGCGAAAGGGAUUAGAUACCCC
RNAcentral lists this ribosomal RNA (641 nucleotides) under Phormidium puteale WUC1779. Its description in RNAcentral is "bacterial SSU rRNA". It matches the Rfam family "Bacterial small subunit ribosomal RNA", at positions 114 to 788 of the family's 1533-position model. Lineage: Bacteria; Bacillati; Cyanobacteriota; Cyanophyceae; Oscillatoriales; Oscillatoriaceae. The record is from RNAcentral.